RNAcentral lists this ribosomal RNA (496 nucleotides) under uncultured bacterium. RNAcentral describes it as "partial 16S ribosomal RNA". It matches the Rfam family "Bacterial small subunit ribosomal RNA", at positions 28 to 506 of the family's 1533-position model. The record is from RNAcentral.
GAUGAACGCUGGCGGCGUGCCUAAUACAUGCAAGUCGAGCGAACAGACGAGGAGCUUGCUCCUCUGACGUUAGCGGCGGACGGGUGAGUAACACGUGGAUAACCUACCUAUAAGACUGGGAUAACUUCGGGAAACCGGAGCUAAUACCGGAUAAUAUAUUGAACCGCAUGGUUCAAUAGUGAAAGACGGUUUUGCUGUCACUUAUAGAUGGAUCCGCGCCGCAUUAGCUAGUUGGUAAGGUAACGACUUACCAAGGCGACGAUGCGUAGCCGACCUGAGAGGGUGAUCGGCCACACUGGAACUGAGACACGGUCCAGACUCCUACGGGAGGCAGCAGUAGGGAAUCUUCCGCAAUGGGCGAAAGCCUGACGGAGCAACGCCGCGUGAGUGAUGAAGGUCUUCGGAUCGUAAAACUCUGUUAUUAGGGAAGAACAAAUGUGUAAGUAACUAUGCACGUCUUGACGGUACCUAAUCAGAAAGCCACGGCUAACUACGU